Molecule: long non-coding RNA, 654 nt
Organism: Clupea harengus (Atlantic herring)
Lineage: Eukaryota; Metazoa; Chordata; Actinopteri; Clupeiformes; Clupeidae
Source: RefSeq, a predicted model, not a curated record
CCCCCAAGUAGCACUCGGUGGAGGUACAUUCAUUAGCACAAAAUGUAUGCACCUAUAUUAAAGGCUCACCCGCUAGCACCUACCUGUUGCUGGGUUUCUACAUUCUUUCUCUCCAUGCUGUUGCUUCUAAAAGGUGUUGACAAUUCACCAAACGCUUCCGGGUAGCGUGCGAGUUCGCUACUGAAGGUUUUGGUCGGACGACACUGAGCGAGAACACCCCGCUGUGGUACAUUGAGAAGACUGGUCGAGGUUUUGGUUGUGAGACGCCAGAGAGCAAAUUGUCAGUGUUUGUUCUGUCAGUGCUGCAUGAAGAGUGUUGCAGCUGUCUGUGGGGCAGGUCACCGUAUCUGAGUCCUCUUCGCGCACUGCAUGUCAUAUUGAGUGGUAACGUGCACCUCACCAUUGCUUUAGUACCUGUUUGUAGUGCCUGUGCCUAUGUGUGUUGUGUGCAGAGGUGUUUGUGUGUGAGUAGGCACAAGAACCAAGAGCACGGGUGGCGUGUCGGUCUCACUCCCCUUUUCCAGGACAGGUAACCCCCUGCAACAGCUGCUCCCUAUGCCUCUUACUAUCCUGGUGGCAGCCACUACCAACUCUCUCGCCAUUCUUCGACGAAAUCUAGCCAUGUAUUAAUAAAUAUUGUCCUUCUAUUUUGAA